This 575-nucleotide small RNA is filed under the name Pan troglodytes (chimpanzee). RNAcentral describes it as "processed transcript". The record is from RNAcentral. Lineage: Eukaryota; Metazoa; Chordata; Mammalia; Primates; Hominidae.
AAGAAAGCCCAUUUUUGUGUCUGUCAGCUUAGAUGCUCUUGCCCGGACUGCUAAAGAUGCAGCUAUUUACAGUGGACAAAAACUGAAGGGGUGAAAGAAAACCCAAGAUGCCAGACCAGUUUGACCAGGCGGUUGUGCUGAACCAGCUGCGGUACUCAGGGAUGCUGGAGACUGUGAGAAUCCGCAAAGCUGGGUAUAAAGUGCUGAUGAGGAAUCUGGCUCUGCCCGAGGACGUCCGAGGGAAGUGCACGAGCCUGCUGCAGCUCUAUGAUGCCUCCAACAGCGAGUGGCAGCUGGGGAAGACCAAGGUCUUUCUUCGAGAAUCCUUGGAACAGAAACUGGAGAAGCGGAGGGAAGAGGAAGUGAGCCACGCGGCCAUGGUGAUUCGGGCCCACGUCUUGGGCUUCUUAGCACGAAAACAAUACAGAAAGGUCCUUUAUUGUGUGGUGGUAAUACAGAAGAAUUACAGAGCAUUCCUUCUGAGGAGGAGAUUUUUGCACCUGAAAAAGGCAGCCAUAGUUUUCCAGAAGCAACUCAGAGGUCAGAUUGCUCGGAGAGUUUACAGACAAUUGCUG